RNAcentral lists this non-coding RNA (121 nucleotides) under human skin metagenome. Its description in RNAcentral is "Ribosomal S15 leader". It matches the Rfam family "Ribosomal S15 leader". From Rfam's summary of the family: The E. coli Ribosomal S15 gene 5' UTR can form two alternative structures. One that is a series of three hairpins, The other includes a pseudoknot. RNAcentral also lists the same sequence under 1 other name. The record is from RNAcentral.
GUCGUCGCUGAAUUAGAGAUCGGCGAACGAUGUAUUAUCAACAUAACCUUUUUAGGAGUUAUAACAUGUCUCUAAGCGUAGAAAAAAAAGCGGCAAUCGUUGCCGAGUUCGGUCGUGAUGC